RNAcentral lists this ribosomal RNA (301 nucleotides) under uncultured bacterium. Its description in RNAcentral is "partial 16S ribosomal RNA". It matches the Rfam family "Bacterial small subunit ribosomal RNA", at positions 509 to 807 of the family's 1533-position model. The record is from RNAcentral.
CAGCCGCCGCGGGAAUACGGAGGGUGCAAGCGUUAAUCGGAAUUACUGGGCGUAAAGCGCACGCAGGCGGUCUGUCAAGUCAGAUGUGAAAUCCCCGGGCUUAACCUGGGAACUGCAUUCGAAACUGGCAGGCUAGAGUCUUGUAGAGGGGGGUAGAAUUCCAGGUGUAGCGGUGAAAUGCGUAGAGAUCUGGAGGAAUACCGGUGGCGAAGGCGGCCCCCUGGACAAAGACUGACGCUCAGGUGCGAAAGCGUGGGGAGCAAACAGGAUUAGAUACCCCUGUAGUCCCUGUCUCUUAUAC